AGUGAACGCUGGCGGUAGGCCCAACACAUGCAAGUCGAACGGCAGCACAGAGGAGCUUGCUCCUUGGGUGGCGAGUGGCGGACGGGUGAGGAAUACAUCGGAAUCUACUCUGUCGUGGGGGAUAACGUAGGGAAACUUACGCUAAUACCGCAUACGACCUACGGGUGAAAGCAGGGGAUCUUCGGACCUUGCGCGAUUGAAUGAGCCGAUGUCGGAUUAGCUAGUUGGCGGGGUAAAGGCCCACCAAGGCGACGAUCCGUAGCCGGUCUGAGAGGAUGAUCAGCCACACUGGAACUGAGACACGGUCCAGACUCCUACGGGAGGCAGCAGUGGGGAAUAUUGGACAAUGGGCGCAAGCCUGAUCCAGCCAUACCGCGUGGGUGAAGAAGGCCUUCGGGUUGUAAAGCCCUUUUGUUGGGAAAGAAAUCCAUCUGGUUAAUACCCGGGUGGGAUGACGGUACCCAAAGAAUAAGCACCGGCUAACUUCGUGCCAGCAGCCGCAGUAA
This 506-nucleotide ribosomal RNA is filed under the name uncultured bacterium. RNAcentral describes it as "partial 16S ribosomal RNA". It matches the Rfam family "Bacterial small subunit ribosomal RNA", at positions 29 to 523 of the family's 1533-position model. The record is from RNAcentral.